Molecule: ribosomal RNA, 315 nt
Filed under: Lactiplantibacillus plantarum
Lineage: Bacteria; Bacillati; Bacillota; Bacilli; Lactobacillales; Lactobacillaceae
Description: bacterial SSU rRNA
Rfam family: Bacterial small subunit ribosomal RNA
Source: RNAcentral
AGUUUGAUCCUGGCUCAGGACGAACGCUGGCGGCGUGCCUAAUACAUGCAAGUCGAACGAACUCUGGUAUUGAUUGGUGCUUGCAUCAUGAUUUACAUUUGAGUGAGUGGCGAACUGGUGAGUAACACGUGGGAAACCUGCCCAGAAGCGGGGGAUAACACCUGGAAACAGAUGCUAAUACCGCAUAACAACUUGGACCGCAUGGUCCGAGUUUGAAAGAUGGCUUCGGCUAUCACUUUUGGAUGGUCCCGCGGCGUAUUAGCUAGAUGGUGGGGUAACGGCUCACCAUGGCAAUGAUACGUAGCCGACCUGAGA